GGAUGACAAACCUCAGUCCGAAAAUUCGAAUGCUGAGAAUCCGUCCAUAUUUUUCUGUAAACUGCAAAAGGAUAUUAAAAAAAGAAAUUGACGUAGUCGGCAGGAUCAGUGAGGGGCACCACGCGGAGCAGCGGUGACUGAACUUCGAGGACGCUCCUCAGAGAGAAUUUCUCGACUGAGCUGGAGAAAGAGGGAAACCCACAAGAAUACGGGAAAGUACCUAACCAGGGAGUGAUGUCCCGCUUCACUCCGGUGGUGUGCUCCGCCUGAUCUAAUGGACUGAAACAGGUGAAUGCAGUCCUUCCUGAGGUGACGGAUACUCCCCUCCAUACGCAUCAGCCAGGUGAUUGGGUGCUGAUUAAAGACUUCCGAAGGAAGCGGUGGAGUCAACCCAGGUGGAGAGGGCCAUUCCAGGUGCUACUGACGACCAACACUGCUGUCAAAACCAAUGGAAGAGCCACUUGGGUACACCAUACCCACUGUAAAAAAGCACCUGAGAGCCCUACAGACGACUAGUAACCAUGAAGAGCAGAAUGACCGAAGCGAUGACUCUGGCAGCGCAGACAAGUAUAAAGGAUCCCGACGCACAGGACGAAGACUUCUAUAGACUAAGAACAUUAUUAAACCCUAUGAUGAAUGCAAUUACAAAUGAUUGUGUAAGAAUCAAAGGGGGGAAGUGUGAUGGAAAAUAUUAUUCAAUCAUGAAUUAUCUUGUGAUUCGUAUGUAAUGAUAUAUAAUCAUGUUAAUCCUUUCAUUAUAUAAUCCUAUAUGAAUAGU
This is a non-coding RNA of Electrophorus electricus (electric eel), 778 nucleotides long. The record is from RefSeq and is a predicted model, not a curated record. NCBI's taxonomy places the organism in Eukaryota, Metazoa, Chordata, Actinopteri, Gymnotiformes, Gymnotidae.